This 344-nucleotide ribosomal RNA is filed under the name Acinetobacter rhizosphaerae. Its description in RNAcentral is "bacterial SSU rRNA". It matches the Rfam family "Bacterial small subunit ribosomal RNA", at positions 246 to 581 of the family's 1533-position model. The record is from RNAcentral. Lineage: Bacteria; Pseudomonadati; Pseudomonadota; Gammaproteobacteria; Moraxellales; Moraxellaceae.
UAGUUGGUGGGGUAAAGGCCUACCGAGGCGACGAUCUGUAGCGGGUCUGAGAGGAUGAACCGCCACACUGGGACUGACACACGGCCCAUACUCCUACGGGAGGCAUCAGUGGGGAAUAUUGGACAAUGGGCGGAAGCCUGAUCCAGCCAUGCCGCGUGAGUGAAGAAGGCCUUAUGGUUGUAAAGCACUUUAAGCGAGGAUGAGGCUACUUUAGUUAAUACCUACAGAUAGUGGACGUUACUCGCAUAAUAAGCCCCGGCUAACUCUGUGCCAGCAGCCGCGGUAAUACAGAGGGUGCAAGCGUUAAUCGGAUUUACUGGGCGUAAAGCGCGCGUAGGCGGCUA